AACUAAGUUUGUCAUUGGUAUGAGCUUUCUUGUGCAUGCACACUUCUUCAGAUACCAGAUACCAGAUACCUGAAGAAGUGUGCGUGCAGACAAAAGCUCAUACCAAUGACAAACUUAGUUGG
Molecule: non-coding RNA, 122 nt
Organism: Podarcis lilfordi (Lilford's wall lizard)
Lineage: Eukaryota; Metazoa; Chordata; Lepidosauria; Squamata; Lacertidae
Source: the annotation of a GenBank genome assembly